CAUAGGUUAAUGAGGCGAACCGGGGGAACUGAAACAUCUAAGUACCCCGAGGAAAAGAAAUCAACCGAGAUUCCCCCAGUAGCGGCGAGCGAACGGGGAGGAGCCCAGAGCCUGAAUCAGUGUGUGUGUUAGUGGAAGCGUCUGGAAAGGCGCGCGAUACAGGGUGACAGCCCCGUACACAAAAAUGCACAUGCUGUGAGCUCGAUGAGUAGGGCGGGACACGUGGUAUCCUGUCUGAAUAUGGGGGGACCAUCCUCCAAGGCUAAAUACUCCUGACUGACCGAUAGUGAACCAGUACCGUGAGGGAAAGGCGAAAAGAACCCCGGCGAGGGGAGUGAAAAAGAACCUGAAACCGUGUACGUACAAGCAGUGGGAGCCUCUUUAUGGGGUGACUGCGUACCUUUUGUAUAAUGGGUCAGCGACUUAUAUUCUGUAGCAAGGUUAACCGAAUAGGGGAGCCGAAGGGAAACCGAGUCUUAACUGGGCGUUAAGUUGCAGGGUAUAGACCCGAAACCCGGUGAUCUAGCCAUGGGCAGGUUGAAGGUUGGGUAACACUAACUGGAGGACCGAACCGACUAAUGUUGAAAAAUUAGCGGAUGACUUGUGGCUGGGGGUGAAAGGCCAAUCAAACCGGGAGAUAGCUGGUUCUCCCCGAAAGCUAUUUAGGUAGCGCCUCGUGAAUUCAUCUCCGGGGGUAGAGCACUGUUUCGGCAAGGGGGUCAUCCCGACUUACCAACCCGAUGCAAACUGCGAAUACCGGAGAAUGUUAUCACGGGAGACACACGGCGGGUGCUAACGUCCGUCGUGAAGAGGGAAACAACCCAGACCGCCAGCUAAGGUCCCAAAGUCAUGGUUAAGUGGGAAACGAUGUGGGAAGGCCCAGACAGCCAGGAUGUUGGCUUAGAAGCAGCCAUCAUUUAAAGAAAGCGUAAUAGCUCACUGGUCGAGUCGGCCUGCGCGGAAGAUGUAACGGGGCUAAACCAUGCACCGAAGCUGCGGCAGCGACGCUUAUGCGUUGUUGGGUAGGGGAGCGUUCUGUAAGCCUGCGAAGGUGUGCUGUGAGGCAUGCUGGAGGUAUCAGAAGUGCGAAUGCUGACAUAAGUAACGAUAAAGCGGGUGAAAAGCCCGCUCGCCGGAAGACCAAGGGUUCCUGUCCAACGUUAAUCGGGGCAGGGUGAGUCGACCCCUAAGGCGAGGCCGAAAGGCGUAGUCGAUGGGAAACAGGUUAAUAUUCC
RNAcentral lists this ribosomal RNA (1235 nucleotides) under Escherichia coli. Its description in RNAcentral is "partial 23S ribosomal RNA". It matches the Rfam family "Bacterial large subunit ribosomal RNA", at positions 165 to 1439 of the family's 2925-position model. The record is from RNAcentral. Lineage: Bacteria; Pseudomonadati; Pseudomonadota; Gammaproteobacteria; Enterobacterales; Enterobacteriaceae.